Molecule: long non-coding RNA, 308 nt
Organism: Ctenocephalides felis (cat flea)
Lineage: Eukaryota; Metazoa; Arthropoda; Insecta; Siphonaptera; Pulicidae
Exons: 3
Source: RefSeq, a predicted model, not a curated record
AUCAAGGUCCGCCUCGUGAAGAUCAUUUAAAAAAACAACAUCAUCUAAUAAAACAUAAUUGUAAUUAAUAGAAAUUAUUAAUAAAAGUCUAAAGUUCAUUUGUUAAUAAAAUUGUUUACAAUAUUUGUUAUUAAUAUAAACAAAUAAAAAUGACCGGUCCGGUGGAAGAUGUCGGCAAAAUUAAAAGUCGUGAAGAGGCUUUGAAGGAGAUGAAAAUGAUGAUUGAAGAUGCCAAAUACCUUGGAUACAGACUACGUACAGACGAGAGUUAUUUAUCCAGAUAUCUCCAUUGUUGUUCCUGGGACCCA